Molecule: ribosomal RNA, 117 nt
Filed under: Mnium spinulosum
Lineage: Eukaryota; Viridiplantae; Streptophyta; Bryopsida; Bryales; Mniaceae
Description: partial 5.8S ribosomal RNA
Rfam family: 5.8S ribosomal RNA
About the family: 5.8S ribosomal RNA (5.8S rRNA) is a component of the large subunit of the eukaryotic ribosome. It is transcribed by RNA polymerase I as part of the 45S precursor that also contains 18S and 28S rRNA. Functionally, it is thought that 5.8S rRNA may be involved in ribosome translocation.
Source: RNAcentral
GAGAACGCAGCGAAAUGCGAUACGUAGUGUGAAUUGCAGAAUUCCGCGAAUCAUCGAGUCUUUGAACGCAAGUUGCGCCCGAGGCUUGUCCAAGGGCAUUUCCGCUAGAGCGUCACC